Molecule: ribosomal RNA, 380 nt
Filed under: uncultured eukaryote
Lineage: Eukaryota
Description: partial 18S ribosomal RNA
Rfam family: Eukaryotic small subunit ribosomal RNA
Source: RNAcentral
CAAUAGCGUAUAUUAAAGUUGUUGCGGUUAAAAAGCUCGUAGUUGGAUUUCUGCUUGGGACAACCGGUCCGCCCUCUGGGUGAGUAUCUGGCUUGGCCCGGGCAUCUUCUUGGGGAACGUUACUGCACUUGACUGUGUGGUGCGGAGCCCAGGACCUUUACUUUGAGGAAAUUAGAGUGUUUCAAGCAGGCAUUUGCCUUGAAUACAUUAGCAUGGAAUAAUAAGAUAGGACCUCGUCCCUACCUUGUUGGUUCGUAUGGAUGAGGUAAUGAUUAAUAGGGAUAGUCGGGGGCAUUCGUACUUAACUGUCAGAGGUGAAAUUCUUGGAUUUGUUAAAGACGGACUACUGCGAAAACAUUUGCCAAGGAUGUUUUCAUUGA